UAUGAAUGAUGCUGGACACUUCAGCUAUGGGAUUUGGGCUGAGCUGAGUCAUUCCAAGGUGGCUGAAGGUUGGGUCACACUAUGUAUUUGGGUAUUUCUUUGCUUUGCUUUUUAUGGCAAGAGAUGAGAGCUCAUCAUGGGAACCGUCAUUAUUUUCUCACUCUGACAGAUCCUCUGAUGAAAGCUGCUUCACCUGAGAGCUGCUACUUGACAGUGUAAUUGGACAAAGUUAUGACAGGAUGUUAAGGACA
This 251-nucleotide long non-coding RNA is filed under the name Fukomys damarensis (Damara mole-rat). RNAcentral's name for it is "lncRNA (ENSFDAG00000025758.1)". The record is from RNAcentral. Lineage: Eukaryota; Metazoa; Chordata; Mammalia; Rodentia; Bathyergidae.